RNAcentral lists this ribosomal RNA (253 nucleotides) under uncultured bacterium. RNAcentral's name for it is "partial 16S ribosomal RNA". It matches the Rfam family "Bacterial small subunit ribosomal RNA", at positions 524 to 776 of the family's 1533-position model. The record is from RNAcentral.
GACGUAGGAGGCGAGCGUUGUCCGGAUUCACUGGGCGUAAAGAGCGCGCAGGCGGCUUGGUAAGUCGGAUGUGAAAUCCCGAGGCUCAACCUCGGGUCUGCAUCCGAUACUGCCCGGCUAGAGGUAGGUAGGGGAGAUCGGAAUUCCUGGUGUAGCGGUGAAAUGCGCAGAUAUCGUAAGGAAGACCAGUGGCGAAGGCGGGUCUCUGGACAGUUCCUGACGCUGAGGCACGAAGGCCAGGGGAGCAAACGGG